GGUCGAGCGAAGCGCUUAAGUCAGAAUCUUCGGAGGAAGGCUUUUGUGACUGAGCGGCGGACGGGUGAGUAACGCGUGGGUAACCUGCCUUACACAGGGGGAUAACAGUUAGAAAUGACUGCUAAUACCGCAUAAGACCACAGUACCGCAUGGUACAGUGGUAAAAACUGAGGUGGUGUAAGAUGGACCCGCGUCUGAUUAGGUAGUUGGUGGGGUAACGGCCCACCAAGCCGACGAUCAGUAGCCGGCCUGAGAGGGUGGACGGCCACAUUGGGACUGAGACACGGCCCAGACUCCUACGGGAGGCAGCAGUGGGGAAUAUUGCACAAUGGGGGAAACCCUGAUGCAGCGACGCCGCGUGAGCGAUGAAGUAUUUCGGUAUGUAAAGCUCUAUCAGCAGGGAAGAAAAUGACGGUACCUGACUAAGAAGCCCCGGCUAACUACGUGCCAGCAGCCGCGGUAAUACGUAGGGGGCAAGCGUUAUCCGGAUUUACUGGGUGUAAAGGGAGCGUAGACGGCAUGGCAAGCCAGAUGUGAAAUACCGGGGCUCAACCCCGGGACUGCAUUUGGAACUGUUAAGCUGGAGUGUCGGAGAGGCAGGCGGAAUUCCUAGUGUAGCGGUGAAAUGCGUAGAUAUUAGGAGGAACACCGGCGGCGAAGGCGGCCUGCUGGACUGCGACUGACGUUGAGGCUCGAAAGCGUGGGGAGCGAACAGGAUUAGAUACCCUGGUAGUCCACGCCGUAAACGAUGACUACUAGGUGUCGGGGCACGACAGUGCUUCGGUGCCGGCGCAAACGCAAUAAGUAGUCCACCUGGGGAGUA
RNAcentral lists this ribosomal RNA (823 nucleotides) under uncultured bacterium. RNAcentral describes it as "bacterial SSU rRNA". It matches the Rfam family "Bacterial small subunit ribosomal RNA", at positions 60 to 882 of the family's 1533-position model. The record is from RNAcentral.